Molecule: ribosomal RNA, 468 nt
Filed under: uncultured Glomus
Lineage: Eukaryota; Fungi; Glomeromycota; Glomeromycetes; Glomerales; Glomeraceae
Description: SSU rRNA
Rfam family: Eukaryotic small subunit ribosomal RNA
Source: RNAcentral
UUCCAGCUCCAAUAGCGUAUAUUAAAGUUGUUGCAGUUAAAAAGCUCGUAGUUGAAUUUCGGGGUCAGUAGGCUGGUCGUGCCACAGGUAUGUACUGGUCUCACUGAUUCCUCCUUCCUGAUGAACCGUAAUGCCAUUAAUUUGGUGUUGCGGGGAGGCUGGACUGUUACUUUGAAAAAAUUAGAGUGUUUAAAGCAGGCUAACGCUUGAAUACAUUAGCAUGGAAUAACGAAAUAGGACGUUCGAUCUUAUUUUGUUGGUUUCUAAGAUUGACGUAAUGAUUAAUAGGGAUAGUUGGGGGCAUUAGUAUUCAAUUGUCAGAGGUGAAAUUCUUGGAUUUAUUGAAGACUAACUACUGCGAAAGCAUUUGCCAAGGAUGUUUUCAUUAAUCAAGAACGAAAGUUAGGGGAUCGAAGACGAUCAGAUACCGUCGUAGUCUUAACCAUAAACUAUGCGACUAGGGAUCGG